Molecule: ribosomal RNA, 497 nt
Filed under: uncultured bacterium
Lineage: Bacteria
Description: partial 16S ribosomal RNA
Rfam family: Bacterial small subunit ribosomal RNA
Source: RNAcentral
GAUGAACGCCGGCGGCGUGCUUAACACAUGCAAGUCGAACGAAGCACUUUAUUUGAUUUCCUUCGGGACUGAUUAUUUUGUGACUGAGUGGCGGACGGGUGAGUAACGCGUGGGUAACCUGCCUUGUACAGGGGGAUAACAGUUGGAAACGGCUGCUAAUACCGCAUAAGCGCACAGCAUCGCAUGAUGCAGUGUGAAAAACUCCGGUGGUAUAAGAUGGACCCGCGUUGGAUUAGCUAGUUGGUGAGGUAACGGCCCACCAAGGCGACGAUCCAUAGCCGACCUGAGAGGGUGACCGGCCACAUUAGGACUGAGACACGGCCCAAACUCCUACGGGAGGCAGCAGUGGGGAAUAUUGCACAAUGGGCGAAAGCCUGAUGCAGCGACGCCGCGUGAGCGAAGAAGUAUUUCGGUAUGUAAAGCUCUAUCAGCAGGGAAGAUAAUGACGGUACCUGACUAAGAAGCACCGGCUAAAUACGUGCCAGCAGCCGCGGUAA